CCUUGGAGAUGGGAUAACUAACCGAAAGGUUAGCUAAUACCGCAUAAGCCCACGGGAGCUUCGGCUUCUGAGGGAAAAGGCGGCCUCUGUAUACAAGCUGUCACUCCAAGAUGAGCCCGCGGCCCAUCAGCUAGUUGGCGGUGUAAAAGACCACCAAGGCUAUGACGGGUAGCUGGUCUGAGAGGACGAUCAGCCACACUGGGAUUGAGAACGGCCCAG
This 219-nucleotide ribosomal RNA is filed under the name uncultured bacterium. RNAcentral describes it as "partial 16S ribosomal RNA". It matches the Rfam family "Bacterial small subunit ribosomal RNA", at positions 129 to 334 of the family's 1533-position model. The record is from RNAcentral.